AGCGAACGUUAGCGGCGCGCCUAACACAUGCAAGUCGCACGAGAAACGGAGCAAUCCGCGGUACAGUGGCGCACGGGUGAGUAACACGUGGAUGACCUUCCCUGGAAGUGGUGGAUAACCUGCCGAAAGGCGGGCUAAUACAGCAUGGGACCACGACGCUUUGGCGAUGUGGUGAAAGCGGGCCUCUAUAUAUAAGCUCGCGCUCCGGGACGGUCCGCGUCCCAUCAGCUAGUUGGUGAGGUAACGGCUCACCAAGGCAACGACGGGUAGCUGGUCUGAGAGGAUGGCCAGCCACACUGGAACUGAGACACGGUCCAGACUCCUACGGAGGCAGCAGUGGGGAAUCUUGCGCAAUGGGCGAAAGCCUG
Molecule: ribosomal RNA, 368 nt
Filed under: uncultured bacterium
Lineage: Bacteria
Description: bacterial SSU rRNA
Rfam family: Bacterial small subunit ribosomal RNA
Source: RNAcentral